Molecule: transfer RNA, 73 nt
Filed under: Weissella confusa
Lineage: Bacteria; Bacillati; Bacillota; Bacilli; Lactobacillales; Lactobacillaceae
Description: tRNA-Lys
Rfam family: tRNA
About the family: Transfer RNA (tRNA) molecules are approximately 80 nucleotides in length.
Source: RNAcentral
GGGUAGAUAGCUCAGUUGGUAGAGCAACGGACUCUUAAUCCGUGGGUCCAGGGUUCGAGCCCCUGUCUGCCCA